Molecule: long non-coding RNA, 1042 nt
Organism: Anguilla rostrata (American eel)
Lineage: Eukaryota; Metazoa; Chordata; Actinopteri; Anguilliformes; Anguillidae
Exons: 3
Source: RefSeq, a predicted model, not a curated record
CAGCCUAGAAAAGGGGUGCGGAGGGUAGGGGGUCUAUCUGAAGAGAAAGCAUUACUCACAUCCCUCGUCCGCACACAAAUGCCCGCCCUUUCGCCAAACUUUUAUCGCCGGUGGAGCUUUAUAUCAAAUUAAUUUACGGGUAUGGCUGGCGACUACGAGACAAAAGCUACGCCAUGGCACCGCGGAGUGUUUGGAUGCUCACUUCCUGUUUCUUAUCGGACAGAAAAUUCAUGAGCAGAAGUUCCUUUUAGGGAUGACGGAGCUCAGUAUCUGGUUGGGCUAUAGAGUCUGUGGCCCCGUGUUGUAGCGGCAGCAGCCCUCAGCUCUGAAACGUCGAGCCGACAGAUGUGCCCACCCCCCCCCCACACCCCAACCCCGACGAACGGCAGCUGUUGCACGGCUGAGUGCCUUUUGAGGAACAUAUAGGCGCUGACGCCCCCCCCCCCCCAGGGGAGCGCAGGUGACCCAUGCUGAAUCAGAGGGGGGUCGUGUCUGUGCGUGUCUGCGUGUGCGUGAGGCUGCGCGUGCGCGGCGCCUUCCCGCCGUAUGGCGUGAAUCGCGGAAUUCGGAAUGCGGAAUUCGGUACGUGAACGCUCUGCUAAAAACUGUACCGAACUGAUGAAGUGAGGAGCGCGACAGUGUUCCCACGCCACGUCCCCUCCUCUUUCGCACGGACAACGAGAGAAUAUGCACCCAACAGACAGCGACAAACUGAGCCAGCGACUAACCGGACUGUCUGCCAGAAUAUUCGCGUACGAGACAGAUUUACAUCCCAGCGGCUCAGAUGUAAGACCGACACACAUUUACUAACGUGCAUUUGAGAGCCCAUUACUGAUCUGUGGAGUAUCCACGGUUUCUGUGCAAAAGCGCUCAGAGGAGUUUUGCUGAGAUGGACAGCAUUCAAGGUUGCAUUUGAGAUGCUGGAAAGCAUUUGAGCUUCAGCUCUGAGGAGUUCCUCUGGCUAUAGGAACCUGGCUUUUGGUGCCUCCUGCUUUGUGUUGGAUAUAAUGGAAAAAGAAAAAUAAACAAAUUGGCGUUGAAA